GAUUAACGCUGGCGGCGUGCAUAACACAUGCAAGUCGAACGACGAAACUUAGUAGACUUCUUCGGAAAGACACUAAGCGGAUUAGUGGCGAACGGGUGAGUAACGCGUGAGUAACCUGCCUUACACAAGGGGAUAGCCUUUGGAAACGAAGAAUAAUACCCUAUAAAACCAUAAAAGCACAUGCUAGAAUGGUCAAAGUGAUAGCGGUGUAAGAUGGACUUGCGUCUGAUUAGCUAGUUGGUGAGAUAAAAGCUCACCAAGGCAACGAUCAGUAGCCGGCUUGAGAGAGUGUACGGCCACAUUGGGACUGAGACACGGCCCAGACUCCUACGGGAGGCAGCAGUGGGGUAUUUUGCACAAUGGGGGAAACCCUGAUGCAGCGACGCCGCGUGAUUUAGAAGGCCUUCGGGUUGUAAAAAUCUUUUGUAUAGGAAGAAAAUGACAGUACUAUACGAAUAAGGUCCGGCUAAUUACGUG
RNAcentral lists this ribosomal RNA (477 nucleotides) under uncultured bacterium. RNAcentral's name for it is "partial 16S ribosomal RNA". It matches the Rfam family "Bacterial small subunit ribosomal RNA", at positions 28 to 507 of the family's 1533-position model. The record is from RNAcentral.